This is a non-coding RNA of Jatropha curcas, 2049 nucleotides long. Lineage: Eukaryota; Viridiplantae; Streptophyta; Magnoliopsida; Malpighiales; Euphorbiaceae. The record is from RefSeq and is a predicted model, not a curated record.
ACCCCUGAGCAAAAUGAAGAUUUUGCGUGAAACGCACUUGCGUUGACGUGUAAAAAGCUGUUAAUUUGUCAUCAAGUUAUCCGCCACGUUGGAUUCCACAUGUACAAGAACUAACGGGAAACAGAAAAAGAAAAAAAUGAAAAAUUAAAGGAAAAUAACAGUCAAACUCACCCAUAAACCAAAAUCCCAAACUGAGAGUAAAAUCUAAAAAUCUCAGUGCCUCCAUCUUCUUGAAAUCUCUUUCUCUCACAUUGCUUGUUCAAGUCCUUGCAUUGCGUCUUUGUAGCUUGUUUUUGGUUGAAAAGCGAGGCGAUAUUGCGUACUGCUUCCUGUUACAGGAUUCUGUAAUGGCUGAGAAGAGAAUACACUUGAGAUGGAAUCAUGGUGGCAUGUUUCAAUUUGAGCCAUAAAUGAGGUAUAUUGGGGGCCAUGUGACUAUGGAACCCAAUAUGGACUCUAACUCGCUUUCAUUAGGGAAUUCCAAGCCACAACCAAGUCUUUUGGGUACAAUAAUGUGUUUAAGAUAUUUGCAAAGUCUAUGAUAGUAGGAGAGACAGAGGUCUUUAGUUGUUCAUACAAGGAUAGUGAUGUGCUUCUUGAGUGUAGUGUCUUGAGUCAUGGUGAAACCCUCCAUUUGUAUGUUGAGCAUGAUGUGGAUGAGCAGAGGAGAUAGAGUUUCGUGGACUUCUUGAGGUAGUUAUUACAAAUCCAGAAGGGGUAAAUGUUGGUGGGGAUGUUAAUAAAGAAGCUGAGUUAGACAAUGUGGGUGUGGGCAAUGAUAUUAAUGAUAAUGUGGUGGAGAUAAUAAAUGCUUCAAGUAGUGAAAAUGUUAGAUUAGAUGGGAUUGAGGAUGAGGCAGGGUAUGUAAUAGAGGAAGAACAUGAGUCAAACAGUGAAGAUAGUUAUGAGAGUGAGUACCUAGAGGAAGUGAAGCUUCAUUUGACGAAGAUUCUGAAGGUGAGGAUGAAGAAGCAGAAGAUCCAAGUGAUAAUGAUGAGGAGUUAAGGCAAGCUAGACAAAGUGUAAGGGCUUACAAGAGAAGAGUUAGGGGUCCUAGACAAGAGGAUUGUGCAAAUUUGGCUCUAGGGGAAGUAGGUGCAGACUUUGGGUUUAGAGGGGAAGAUCAUAUCAAUGGUAGGUACAAGGAAAAAUAGGUAACAAUGAACCCUACUCAAAUGAUCUUGACCCAGACAGUAGAGAAGUGAUUGAUGAUGAGUAGAAUGUUUUCAAUGUGGAGGUCAAUUGUUGUGUUUUGUUUUUAAAGAUGGAAACAAUCAAAUGUUUCCUAUUGCCUAGGCUAUUGUUGAUAUUGAAAACAUAAGGAACUGGCUUUGGUUCAUUUCCACUUUGAAGCAAGAUUUGGAUAUCACCAUAGGGAAGCGAUGGGCAGUUGUGACAGACAUGCAGAAGCUAUGGGGCUUUUAUGAGCCAUUAAUUAGGAGUUACCUGAUGUUGAGCACAGAAUGUAUGCAAGGUAUAUUUGGACAAACUGGGCAAAGAAGUGGAGGGAUGAAGAGAGAAGGAAGAAGUUUUAGGAGGUGGUAAGGGCACCAUUUGAAAUGCUAUUAAAAGAGAAGUUGAAAGAUAUGAGCAAACUUGGAACUAGUAUUGUUGAGAAUUUGUUGUAUUAUAAUACCAAUACUUGGUGUAGGGCACUCUUUAGGACUCAACUCAAUGUGAUGUGGUUGAAAACAACAUGUCUGAGAUAUUUAAUGGGUGGAUUCUCAGUGCCAGACUGAAAUCCAUUAUAACCAUGUGUGAAGAGAUUAAGCAACAGGUGAUGGAGAGGAAUGUGAGAAUGAGAGAAUUUGUAGAGACAUGGAUUUGUGAUAUCUCGCCUGUUGCAAUGGAAAAAUUAGAAUUGCACAAGCUAUUAGUUAUGCAUUAUACACCAAAGUGGAAUAGGGAUAUUGGAUUUGAAAUUGUAGAGGAGAAUACCAACACACUGUGUGUUUGGGUAAAAUGACAUAUAAUUGCAAGUCAUGGGAGCUUAAAGGCAUUCUAUAUCAACAUGCAAUUUGUGCCAUGAACCACAUAAAGUUGAAUCUA